GGGGUUGUGGCUCAGCGUUAGAAUGCUCACCUUACAUAUGAGAGAUCCUGGGUUCGAUCCUCAGAACCACA
Molecule: transfer RNA, 71 nt
Filed under: Marmota monax (woodchuck)
Lineage: Eukaryota; Metazoa; Chordata; Mammalia; Rodentia; Sciuridae
Description: tRNA.Val
Source: RNAcentral